AAACCCUACCUAUUCUCUCCUCCCAUCCUCUUCACACGCAACAGCGGCGGCGACGGUGGUGUCUACCGAGCGCUCACGAGUGCCCGCGCAUCAGGGAGAAACCAUGCGGCGGUGGUGGCCAGGACGUGCCCAUGGCCAGGCUGGAGCUGACUGCGCUCCCGAGAUCCCCUUUGCCGUAGUCCGCGAGGCCAAGCAGGACCUCUCUGAUAUUGGCGACGAUGUCUUCGUGAGUAGCCACCACCAUCUCUCCUUUUCUAUCUUACCUUUCUGCGUAAUUGUUUGCUCCAGGCUCCAGGCUGUUUUGUUGGAUCCGCUGCCUUUGAUCUUCAUCUAGUCCUGCAUAAUGGGAGAUCUAGUGUUGAGAUGGGAGAUCUAGUUGCAUGGAUGUGCUACUCCAGGAUUUGUGCGGCAGCCUGCAGGUCGAGACGCGUCAUGCGUGCUGCUCCUCUCCUUCAUGUCCGCACGGUUAGUUAGCCGGCGGACCUUCCUCCUCUAGGCACCUCCCAUCAUCAUCAGGUAUCAACAAUUUAUCACUAGCACAGGUCACAUGCACGACAUGGCCAAGCUUUAUUCUUUUGAGGUUUGAAGAAAUUGAUUUGUUUUGCAUGACACUGGCUUCACAUGUCGAGCUUCGGAGUACUUGCAAGUUGCAGAUAGUAGUGCAGUAGUUAAUUGCAAGUUGCUUCUCAGUCGUGCAGUAGGUAAUGAAUUAAUGAAGCCUGUUUUAGCUACUCAAAUUUCUUCACUUUAGAUAAUAAUAAAGUUUGGUUCUCUCUAUGUCAGUUUUAUAUUAUAUAAAGAGUUUCUCUUGUGCAUUGCGAAAUGAAUUGCAAUAGAGUAAAUUUAUCAGUACCACCAACAACCAAAAAUUCUUUAUGUAACUACGUAACUGCUAGACUCUAAAAAUGAUUUUCUUAUAGAUUAUUAAACAUCAUUUCUAAUUUGGAGAUUAGCUGGACUGCAAUCACAAGUCUGAUUUGGAGAAGCAGUUAGAGAAACAGAAAGAGACAUGAAGGAUGAUUUUGUUAACUACAGCAAGACUAUUUUGUGUUGUGCGCUGCUCUGUUGCCGCUGUUAUGAGCUGCUGUUGUCACUAUUACGCUAUUGCGUCGCUACUGUUAUGUAAAGUUGAGACUAUAGUUGCUUGAACCGUAAGACUAUUAGAGUGAAAUUAUUGUGAUAUCUUGUUGUGUUCGAGCAGCAGAUUCUUGAAUUGUAAGACUGGUGAUUUGGAGAUAAUAUUAUGUGAUGUAUGGGCUGAUUUCUGUGA
Molecule: long non-coding RNA, 1270 nt
Organism: Sorghum bicolor (sorghum)
Lineage: Eukaryota; Viridiplantae; Streptophyta; Magnoliopsida; Poales; Poaceae
Exons: 2
Source: RefSeq, a predicted model, not a curated record